This 460-nucleotide ribosomal RNA is filed under the name uncultured bacterium. RNAcentral's name for it is "partial 16S ribosomal RNA". It matches the Rfam family "Bacterial small subunit ribosomal RNA", at positions 338 to 795 of the family's 1533-position model. The record is from RNAcentral.
CCUACGGGAGGCAGCAGUGAGGAAUAUUGGUCAAUGGACGAGAGUCUGAACCAGCCAAGUAGCGUGAAGGAUGACUGCCCUAUGGGUUGUAAACUUCUUUUAUAUGGGAAUAAAAUGUUCCACGUGUGGGAUUUUGUAUGUACCAUAUGAAUAAGGAUCGGCUAACUCCGUGCCAGCAGCCGCGGUAAUACGGAGGAUCCGAGAGUUAUCCGGAUUUAUUGGGUGUAAAGGGAGCGUAGGUGGAUUGUUAAGUCAGUUGUGAAAGUUUGCGGCUCAACCGUAAAAUUGCAGUUGAAACUGGCAGUCUUGAGUACAGUAGAGGUGGGCGGAAUUCGUGGUGUAGCGGUGAAAUGCUUAGAUAUAACGAAGAACUCCGAUUGCGAAGGCAGUUCACUGGACUGCAACUGACACUGAGGCUCGAAAGUGUGGGUAUCAAACAGGAUUAGAUACCCUGGUAGUC